Molecule: unclassified non-coding RNA, 17 nt
Filed under: Mus musculus (house mouse)
Lineage: Eukaryota; Metazoa; Chordata; Mammalia; Rodentia; Muridae
Description: oocyte_clustered_small_RNA6865
Source: RNAcentral
GACUUUGGAACUUGGGC